This 253-nucleotide ribosomal RNA is filed under the name uncultured bacterium. Its description in RNAcentral is "partial 16S ribosomal RNA". It matches the Rfam family "Bacterial small subunit ribosomal RNA", at positions 524 to 776 of the family's 1533-position model. The record is from RNAcentral.
UACGAAGGGGGCUAGCGUUGCGCGGAAUCACUGGGCGUAAAGCGCACGUAGGCGGGUUGUUAAGUCGGGGGUGAAAUCCUGGAGCUCAACUCCAGAACUGCCUUCGAUACUGGCGACCUUGAGUCCGGGAGAGGUGAGUGGAACUCCGAGUGUAGAGGUGAAAUUCGUAGAUAUUCGGAAGAACACCAGUGGCGAAGGCGGCUCACUGGCCCGGUACUGACGCUGAGGUGCGAAAGCGUGGGGAGCAAACAGG